CACGUAGGGUGCGAGCGUUGUCCGGAAUUAUUGGGCGUAAAGAGCUCGUAGGCGGUGUGUCGCGUCGGCCGUGAAAACCUGCAGCUUAACUGUGGGCGUGCGGUCGAUACGGGCAUCACUGGAGUUCGGCAGGGGAGACUGGAAUUCUCGGUGUAGCGGUGAAAUGCGCAGAUAUCAGGAGGAACACCGGUGGCGAAGGCGGGUCUCUGGGCCGAUAUCGACGCUGAGGAGCGAAAGCGUGGGGAGCGAACAGG
Molecule: ribosomal RNA, 254 nt
Filed under: uncultured bacterium
Lineage: Bacteria
Description: partial 16S ribosomal RNA
Rfam family: Bacterial small subunit ribosomal RNA
Source: RNAcentral